Molecule: ribosomal RNA, 449 nt
Filed under: uncultured bacterium
Lineage: Bacteria
Description: bacterial SSU rRNA
Rfam family: Bacterial small subunit ribosomal RNA
Source: RNAcentral
AACGUACGCUGGCGGCACGCCUUAUACAUGCAAGUCGAACGAAGUAGCAAUACUUAGUGGCAGACGGGUGAGUAACAUGUAGGUAUCUUCCCUUUGGUGAGGAAUAACACGAGGAAACUUGUGCUAAUACCUCAUAAGUCUUUACGGAGAAAGCUUUAUGCGCCGAAGGAUGAGCCUGCACUUGAUUAGUUUGUUGGUGGGGUAAUGGCCUACCAAGACUUUGAUCUAUAGCUGAUCUGAGAGGAUGAUCGGCCACAUUGGGACUGAGACACGGCCCAAAACUCCUACGGGAGGCAGCAGUAGGGAAUAUUGCACAAUGGAGGAAACUCUGAUGCAGCGAUGCCGCGUGAGUGAAGAAGGCCUUUGGGUGUAAAGCUCUUUCGUCGGGAAGAAAUGACUGUACCCGAUAAAGAAGGUCCGGCUAACUUCGUGCCAGCCGCCGCCGUAAU